Molecule: ribosomal RNA, 493 nt
Filed under: uncultured bacterium
Lineage: Bacteria
Description: partial 16S ribosomal RNA
Rfam family: Bacterial small subunit ribosomal RNA
Source: RNAcentral
GACGAACGCUGGCGGCGCGCUUAACACAUGCAAGUCGAACGGAAAGGCCUGCUUUCCCUUGUGUAUUGCGGGUACUCGAGUGGCGAACGGGUGAGUAACACGUGAGUGAUCUUCCCCCAACUUGGUUAGAAGCCUGGGAAACUGGGUCUAAUUCCCUAUAGGACCGCAGGGUGGUGCCUGUGGUGGUAGACGAUUUUCUAGUGGUUGAGGGCGGGCUCGCGGCCUAUCUGCUUGUUGGUGGGGUAAUGGUCUACAGAAGCGAGUACGGGUAGCCGGCCUGAGAGGGUGGACGGGCACAUUGGGAACGAGAAACGGUCCAGAGUCCUACGGCAGGCGGCAGUGGGGAAGAUUGCACAAUGGGCGGAAGCAUGAUGCAGCGACGCGGCGUGGGGGAUGACGGCCUGCGGGUUGUAAACUCCUUUCGACAGCGAGGAAGCCACCUGGUUGGAAGGGUGGUGACGUUAGUGGUAGAAGAAGCACCGGCAAAUUCCGG